AGAGUUUGAUUCUGGCUCAGGAUGAACGCUAGCUACAGGCUUAACACAUGCAAGUCGAGGGGCAGCAUUGGAGUAGCAAUACUCAGAUGGCGACCGGCGCACGGGUGAGUAACACGUAUCCAACCUACCGCUUACUCGGGGAUAGCCUUUCGAAAGAAAGAUUAAUACCCGAUGGUAUAAAGAGUUCGCAUGUUCUCUUUAUUAAAGAAUUUCGGUAAGCGAUGGGGAUGCGUUCCAUUAGAUAGUUGGCGGGGUAACGGCCCACCAAGUCUACGAUGGAUAGGGGUUCUGAGAGGAAGGUCCCCCACAUUGGAACUGAGACACGGUCCAAACUCCUACGGGAGGCAGCAGUGAGGAAUAUUGGUCAAUGGACGAGAGUCUGAACCAGCCAAAGUAGCGUGAAGGAUGACUGCCCUAUGGGUUGUAAACUUCUUUUAUAAGGGAAUAAAGUGAGGGACGUGUCCCUUUUUGUAUGUACCUUAUGAAUAAGGAUCGGCUAACUCCGUGCCAGCCGCCGC
This 518-nucleotide ribosomal RNA is filed under the name uncultured bacterium. RNAcentral describes it as "bacterial SSU rRNA". It matches the Rfam family "Bacterial small subunit ribosomal RNA", at positions 8 to 518 of the family's 1533-position model. The record is from RNAcentral.